RNAcentral lists this ribosomal RNA (1343 nucleotides) under uncultured bacterium. Its description in RNAcentral is "16S ribosomal RNA". It matches the Rfam family "Bacterial small subunit ribosomal RNA", at positions 28 to 1378 of the family's 1533-position model. The record is from RNAcentral.
GACGAACGCUGGCGGCGUGCUUAACACAUGCAAGUCGAACGGAAAGGCCCUGCUUUUGUGGGGUGCUCGAGUGGCGAACGGGUGAGUAACACGUGAGUAACCUGCCCUUGACUUUGGGAUAACUUCAGGAAACUGGGGCUAAUACCGGAUAGGAGCUCCUGCUGCAUGGUGGGGGUUGGAAAGUUUCGGCGGUUGGGGAUGGACUCGCGGCUUAUCAGCUUGUUGGUGGGGUAGUGGCUUACCAAGGCUUUGACGGGUAGCCGGCCUGAGAGGGUGACCGGCCACAUUGGGACUGAGAUACGGCCCAGACUCCUACGAGAGGCAGCAGUGGGGAAUAUUGCACAAUGGGCGGAGGCCUGAUGCAGCAACGCCGCGUGCGGGAUGACGGCCUUCGGGUUGUAAACCGCUUUCGCCUGUGACGAAGCGUGAGUGACGGUAAUGGGUAAAGAAGCACCGGCUAACUACGUGCCAGCAGCCGCGGUGAUACGUAGGGUGCGAGCGUUGUCCGGAUUUAUUGGGCGUAAAGGGCUCGUAGGUGGUUGAUCGCGUCGGAAGUGUAAUCUUGGGGCUUAACCCUGAGCGUGCUUUCGAUACGGGUUGACUUGAGGAAGGUAGGGGAGAAUGGAAUUCCUGGUGGAGCGGUGGAAUGCGCAGAUAUCAGGAGGAACACCAGUGGCGAAGGCGGUUCUCUGGGCCUUUCCUGACGCUGAGGAGCGAAAGCGUGGGGAGCGAACAGGCUUAGAUACCCUGGUAGUCCACGCUGUAAACGGUGGGUACUAGGUGUGGGGUCCAUUCCACGGGUUCCGUGCCGUAGCUAACGCUUUAAGUACCCCGCCUGGGGAGUACGGCCGCAAGGCUAAAACUCAAAGGAAUUGACGGGGCCCCGCACAAGCGGCGGAGCAUGCGGAUUAAUUCGAUGCAACGCGUAGAACCUUACCUGGGUUUGACAUGGAUCGGGAGUGCUCAGAGAUGGGUGUGCCUCUUUUGGGGUCGGUUCACAGGUGGUGCAUGGCUGUCGUCAGCUCGUGUCGUGAGAUGUUGGGUUAAGUCCCGCAACGAGCGCAACCCUUGUUCACUGUUGCCAGCACGUUAUGGUGGGGACUCAGUGGAGACCGCCGGGGUCAACUCGGAGGAAGGUGGGGAUGACGUCAAGUCAUCAUGCCCCUUAUGUCCAGGGCUUCACGCAUGCUACAAUGGCUGGUACAGAGAGUGGCGAGCCUGUGAGGGUGAGCGAAUCUCGGAAAGCCGGUCUCAGUUCGGAUUGGGGUCUGCAACUCGACCUCAUGAAGUCGGAGUCGCUAGUAAUCGCAGAUCAGCAACGCUGCGGUGAAUACGUUCCCGGG